Oreochromis aureus is the source of this 489-nucleotide long non-coding RNA. Lineage: Eukaryota; Metazoa; Chordata; Actinopteri; Cichliformes; Cichlidae. The record is from Ensembl.
AUGACUGUAGAAAACACGGACGACGCGGCCACGGUCACGGACAAACUUGCAUGUGUCUGUUCGGGAAUGGCAGAUGCUGAGAGGUCUAACGUUUACAUUACCGACAGCCUGAGGUGUUCUUCAGUAAAUUGGACUACCGGACAGGAGGACCUGAGGCCCCACCGCAAUAUUUUCGUACCACUGCUGAUAGCGCCUCCGUAUGUUUUGACCAGGAUGCAGCAGCAGACUGAACCAGGACUGAAACCUGCUCCAUCAUCUCAUCUUUGCAGAUGUCCAUUUAUAAAGCAUCAACAACUCUAAGGAGCCGUCCUCAGAUUCAGACCUCAGCACCACCCAGUGACAGCAGACAAAUCAUCCUAUAUCUUCACUCUUUGUAGUAACUCCAAAAUUAACUGAUGAAAACAGUACAAAGGUUAAAGUACACUGUUAAAAAAGAAAUCCUAGAAAAACAGUAAUAUUCCGGCAGCUGGGGCGCCAAAAUAAUACCAU